Hibiscus syriacus is the source of this 246-nucleotide long non-coding RNA. RefSeq lists it as uncharacterized. The transcript is spliced from 2 exons. Lineage: Eukaryota; Viridiplantae; Streptophyta; Magnoliopsida; Malvales; Malvaceae. The record is from RefSeq and is a predicted model, not a curated record.
CCGCUAAUUUUACCAAUUCUAACCGUGGUAAUGGCUUGUUCUUUAUUCCUUUCUUUGUAGCUUAUGAUUCCUAAAUGUUUUUGUUCUUCGUUACUAAUUCGUGACUUGAAAAUUUAGGGGAGUUUGCAUCAAUGAUAUGAUACCAUUUUACCUUGGAAAGCUGUUUAGACAAAGUGGAGCAUCUGAUAUGUUUGUUCCAAGUUAGGGAUAGGUGAAGAGAAGGUUUUGCAAAUAAGGCGUGCUGUU